CAGCCGCCGCGGGAAUACGUAGGGUGCAAGCGUUAAUCGGAAUUACUGGGCGUAAAGCGCACGCAGGCGGUCUGUCAAGUCAGAUGUGAAAUCCCCGGGCUCAACCUGGGAACUGCAUUUGUGACUGGCAAGCUAGAGUGUGGCAGAGGGGGGUGGAAUUCCGCGUGUAGCAGUGAAAUGCGUAGAUAUGCGGAGGAACACCGAUGGCGAAGGCAGCCCCCUGGGCCAACACUGACGCUCAUGCACGAAAGCGUGGGGAGCAAACAGGAUUAGAUACCCCAGUAGUCCCUGUCUCUUAUAC
Molecule: ribosomal RNA, 301 nt
Filed under: uncultured bacterium
Lineage: Bacteria
Description: partial 16S ribosomal RNA
Rfam family: Bacterial small subunit ribosomal RNA
Source: RNAcentral